Molecule: non-coding RNA, 19919 nt
Organism: Rattus norvegicus (Norway rat)
Lineage: Eukaryota; Metazoa; Chordata; Mammalia; Rodentia; Muridae
Source: RefSeq, a predicted model, not a curated record
UUUGUUUGUUUUCUUGCUUCCAGAAGAUACUUCAUAUUCAGUUUGGAUUUCCCAGCCCCAGGCCUAAAAUCAGUAUAGUAAUUCUAUAGCGAGUGUGUCGUUUGUGAAGAUAUGCUGUCAUUUAUUGAAACAGGACCUCUAGUCAACAGCCAGUCCAGGAGGAGCUGAUGCAAAUCACAAGGACUCACUGAAUUCUGUCAGUGGCUAUGGGAGUGGACUGGAGGUAGGUUAUCUCCUGAGAUGGGCCUUUAAACGACUGGAGCCCAGUCAGUGGUGGGACCCCAAAUAUUUAGACCCUGAGCCAGAAUCAUGCUUGAGAAAAGCUGGAGUGAGGCUGGUCUUACGAUGAUAGGACUCUCCAGAUAUGUCUCUGUCUAAGUCUCCAAAGAGAGGGUUGUGGCUCUCUUAGCCUAGCAUAGCCUUCCCAGCACAGCCUCUUUACCCACACGCUAGUCAACUCCAGGACGUAAAUGGUCAGCGGGCUAUGUUUUCUCUGACAUCUAGAAUAAGCAUCUUGUGCCCCAGCCUCUGCUUCCAUGCUCUGCUACCACACUGCAAGGCACGGCUUGCUCUCCUUGUGCAGCUACUGACGCUGAUGUUUCCUGUCAACAAGACUUGACUUCUCAAGGCCUGGAGUCUCAAUCAGUCACAAUUAGAGUUUGCAUAUAUAUAUAUGCAAGUAACCCUAAAAUAUCUGCAAAGUCAAUCCCUAAUAAUAAGCUGUAAAUUAUGGGUUUAUGAUCUACCAGCAGCCCUGACUCUCACCACACACAGCAUCAGCCAUUAUAAGCCCUAUUAGCACCACUCAAGAAUUCGUGAAUGAAUGUUCCCCUCUUUAAUAAGGAUUUAAUUUUCUGGACUCCCGACGAGCUUUCUCUCCCAUUUAAGAAUCUCCGAGUCAGUGCAAAAGCAAAUGAGGAAUUACUCCUGACCAAAAGUCAAGGGUCUCUAGCUUAAUUCUGUUGUUUUCACACGCCAAGUAUUCCUUCUGGCGAUAUUUUUACCCAGCACACCAGGAAGACUCUGCCAUUCACACCCACACAAGUUCUACACUGAGGGUUAGGGUGAGGGACUCACAGGGAGGAACAUGAACAGGUUCAUGCCAAUUGACAUGCACUUGUGUGUCUGGAGUUUGUAAGCCCCUCUUCAUCUCAGCAAGGCCCCCUCCUGCAAUAGUAUCUGUGUUCUUCCAACUGCACUAAUUGAACACACACACACACACACACACACGCACGCACGCACGCACGCACGCACGCACGCACGCACGCACGCACGCACGCACGCACGCGGAAGGUAAAUAAUCACAUUUUCCAUGGGCUUCCAAGGAGAAGUACACAUCAUCAGUAGUGAUUGCUGACUUCCCGUGUGAUCUCAACAGGACGAACCUAAACCCCGCUGUUCUGAAGCAUCGUGUGUGAGGGCAGGUAAACAAGCUGUUCACUCUCCUUAAACUAUAAGAUUCCAGCAGAGUAGGAGGAGACAAGAAGUUCAGAAGAACUUUUUACUCUGAGCCCUUUCUUUUUUUUUUUAAAGAUUUUAUUUAUUCAUCUUAUAUAUGACAAGUACACUGUCACUGUCUUCAGACACACCAGAAGAGGGCAUCGGAUCUCGUUACAGAUGGUUGUGAGCCACCAUGUGGUUGCUGGGAUUUGAACUCAUGACCUCUGGAAGAGCAGUCAGUGCUCUUAACCGCUGAGCCAUCUCUCCAGCCCCUCUGAGCCCUUUCUAAAAAAUACUUUAUUUAUUAUUAUAUUUAACAAUUUUUAUGUACACUGGUGUUUUGCCUGCUUGUAUGUCUCUGUGAGGGUGUCGGAUUCUCUGGAAACGGAGAUUCAGACAGUUGUGAACUGCCAUGUGGAUGCUGGGAAUUGAACUCAGAACCUCUGGAAGAGCAGCCAGUGCUCUUAACCUCUGAGCCAUCUCUCCAGCCCCCAUUCUGGGUCUUAAUAGAAAUGCUAAGUCGUUUGUGUCACUCCUAGCAGGGUCACUUCUUCUUGGGCAUGAUAGAUGUAGCGUGAGGUACAAGGGGACAGCUCAGUUGGUAAAGUGCUUGCCACUCAAGCACGAGGACCAUGAGUUUGAUUUCUACCAGUCAGUAAAACCUGGGCGCAGUGAUACACACAAUUAGUGUCAGAGCUAAGGAAGCAGAGAUUCCCAGUAGCUCACUGGCCAGCUAGCCUAGCCUAAUGGGGGAGCUCCAGGUCUCAGACUCAAAAACACAGGGUGGAGGUUGUAAUGGUGGCUCAGUAGUAAAAGUGCCUUUUGCCAAGUCUGAGGACUGGAUUAGAUCCUUGGGACCCAAUGGUACAGGGAGAGAAGCAAGUACUCCAAACUGUACUCUGACCUCCACUCCCAAAAGAAAAGAUUUUAAAAAUUGUAAACAAAACAAAACAAAUAAAAAAAACACUAAAAAACAGAAAACCAAGGUGGAUGGCGCUUGAGACCGGCCUGUGGUCUCCCUGACACCCAUGGGUGCAAGUGCACCCAGACACAUAAACCUGCACACACACACACACACACACACACACACACACACACACACACACACACCCCACCCUGCGACAUUGUAUGAAUAGCCCUUCAACACAUUCAACACUGCAGGCUGGAAUAACUGCAGGCUAACCUCGGGAAGCCCGUUACUUCCCACUCCUCAAUAAUUACUUUUCAUCAACAAAGACGGGAAGGGAGGAGUCGAUGAAAGAAUGCUGGGGUUUCCUAGGAAAGGACUGGCCACAGUUGGCCUGAGGGUUUCCUGCUGGGGCCUGUGGAUGAUGGCACUGCUUGCUGAAGGUGAGAAUCCUCUCUGCUUGGAGAAGCUAUAGAAAAGAUCAAGGCUUUGUUGCCUUAACUUACCCUAAAUCCAUGGGGUUUGUUAGAAUCAAGAAUCAAGUAAAUGCCAAACGAACAGAAUAUUGAUCCUGAGCCUCCGCGGAGCUUGGAAAACAUAUAUUUUAGAUUUAGAAAAUUCUGGUCACUUAUGAAUGAAGGGGAGACAGAGCUGGGGAGCUCACGGGGAAGGCAGUGCUUGCUAUGCAAGAGGGCUGGGAUGCACAAGGAGAAGAGUCAACCUGGAGCCUUGUCCCUUGGGAACUUCUGCAGUGCUGAUAGGAUAAACCAAGAGUAGAAACGUCCAAAAUAUUGAGCCAGUUUCCAGGGAAACUUCCCUAAAGGUCAGAACCAGAGCAGGGGAAAGCACACAAAACAAACACCCUCCAAGGAUGAAAACCUCCAACAAGGCAAGGUCAGGAGAGGGCAGGUGAGUGGACUGCACUUGCGCUUGUAUCUGGAGGGAGAAAACUGCUUGCUUCUCUGCCCCCAGCACCUCGGUUUUGCUGCCUCCAACCCAGCAAUACAGAGAUGAUGAAGAUCUGACCCACUUUCGACAUUGGGUUUAUGAUGUGGAGUCUCACAGGGCGCACUGUACAGACCCUCUGAUUUCCCUGACAGGCUAGCUCCCUGCAAACCACUUCUGUCUCACUUCAGUAAGUUUGCUCAUCAAUACAUUCAGCUACCAAAUUGCUUUAAUUACAGAACAAGGAAAUUGCUUCACUUGGCGAAAGGUUCUUCCUCGUUCUGCUAAUGGCUCUCUGGUAGCGUGCCUAUGAUGAGAGUUUUUUUUUUUUUCUUUCGAGACUGAAAACCAUUGAGCUUACUGAGAAGGAGAGAAGGGCUGUGCAGACAGCACAGUGCGGUGGUGAACUGCAAUUGCCUUCAGAUCUCACACACUGUUCUAGACGAUGGCCAGUGACCGCAAAGAAAGGGGGUCCAGGUAGAGCAGCUUCCUGUGGGAAAAUCCUCAGAAAUGGGAACCUUAAGACACAAUCCACAUUGCUCUCAGUCUUUCCUAUGAGGAUUCUAGAAAGUUCUUUGUACCUAUCCAGAUACCACCUCCUAUAUAACCAGGGUGCAUUUAUUGAGAUUUCUAACUCAAAUUCUGGUUCGUAGAGCAUGGAGCAAGACUGAAGACAGCCUCUGAUGGGAUGUUUUCCUACCUGGGGCACGUAGCCUAUAUUCCUGAAGAGGGGGUGCAGAUGAUGCCCUGACGCCCAGCCUGGAGUGUGGAUCUUGGCUUUGCCAUUCACUCGUUUUGCCACCCUGGAGAGUUACUUCAAACCCUUGGAGUAUUUGUUAAGAACAGCACGUGACUGGGAAACAGUGGAAGGGCUCAAUAGAUACCGUGUGGUUCAGUAGCUAUAGGUGCCAGCAUGUGCUCACCACCCCCUCUCCUGUUCGUCUUCACGACUCCUCCUCAGGGCCUGAGUUGCUGGCUGGGAACUUCUGACAUGCCUGUCUGUAGUAGAAACACAGCUCUUGGAAAGAAGGGAGUUAUAAACGCCAUCUUUCAUCUACAGUGGGGACUGAAAUGGGUCCCUUCUUUUUCUUUGCUUGGGAAAAAAAAAAGAGAGUGAAUGGCCGAGUGCUCUUAGUGCUAAGACGACCUGGGCCCAUGUCUCCACCUGCCACUGAGUGGAUGAGUAACUGAGCAGCCUUGCACGGAGGAUGGUCCAGCAGCACCUCAGUGGUGAGCAUGCGCUUUACCACAGGAGGCGCUGUGAUUACACUAUGGCUGCAUGUCCUUCUCCGCACCUACGAAUGCCCUUGACGCAUGUCCACCAAAGGAGAGGACUUUAAUGGCAGUGUGAACUGAAAUCAAGUGGUAUCCACAGAAAGGCUGAGCUGAUCGUCGUACCAUAAAAAUCCUCCAUAUUAUUGUUCAGGCAACACUCUGGACAGUCAUGAAUGCCAUUAAAAUGGCUCGAAGAGACAGAAACCCAUAUAAUGAAUACGAAAAGAAGGACGGCAAUGCAUCUUUGUAUUUUGGGGGGAUAUUUGUUUGGGCAGACUUUGCUAACAGUUUGAAGAGACUACAACACAACACUGCUAGCUAAAAGUUUAAUUACACACAAUUGCUUGCUGUGAGUUCCUUUCCCAAAUGGUCUCAUGCAUAUUCAUCACUGUAAUUACAGUAGUGAAAAAAACCUCACAACUAAUUAUUCCAUGUUCCCCAUCUUUCACAUGCCUAGAAUUUUGCAUAAUUACUGUUGAAAUUAAUUGCAAGUUAGUUGAUUUUAUACUUUGUCCUUUCAAAGCUUAAUUGAAAAUUAAUUUAAAAGACACAAAAAAUAACGGAGAGGAAUCGCCAACCACCUACCUUCAACCAUGUCAGAUCUGGCCUUACACAUAAGGAUGGGAUUUAAUGAUGGAGGGCUGAAUGGAGGGUUCCUCACAUCAGGCUGUAACAAAAAACCAGUCAUCUCAGGCCCACAUCUAUGGGACAGCAGUGAAGACAUGACGGUGGGGAGGCCUGCUGGUGGACAAGCGGUUUUCUGGUUGGGUACUUAUCAUGAGAUGACUAGGUAGGUCAGUCUAUUUCUUGCCUUGAAAGAAACCAUCUAAUUUCAGCACCCCAGUCUACUUUUACCUUCGAAUGUCUUUGCUUUCCAUUUUCAAGGCCUACCUGGCAUUCAAGAAACACACACACACACACUCUCUCUCUCUCAUAUAUAUGUGUGUGUGUGUGUGUGUGUGUGUGUGUACAUACAUAUAUAUAUAUAUAUAUAUAUAUAUAUAUUUUUCCCCUUUCCACCCUGGUAUUAGAGUUACAAAUAGUUCAAAUAGUUCUUUAUCGCAGUUCUGUUAUAGAACUCUGUUCCCACAAUUUCUUGAUCUGAGUAACUUUCAUCCAUCCAUAAGGGACCAGGAGGGACCCAUAUAGUGAGAGUAUUAUCUUUAAAAUUUUUUUAAAAUUUAAUUAAAACAACUUUUUAAAAAGAGCUAUAUUUUAUGAGCACAGGUGUGUCUGUGUGUAUGUGUGUGUGUAUGAAAGUGCACAUGCAUAUUGGAUUCUUCAGGAAGCCAGAAGCGGACACUGGAUCUCUGGUGCUGGAGUUAGAGUUGAGAGCUGCCACAUGGUUGCUGGGAACUAAAUCUGGGUCUUUCGCAAGAACAGCCAGUGCUCUUAGCUGCUGAGCCAUCUCUCCAGCCCCCCAGUGUCUCCUCUUCUAAGAACACUAAUCCUGCCAUGAGGGUCUUACUCGGAACACUUCAACUAAUCUCCAUGAUGCUAAAGGGCCCAUGUCAAACAGCACCACCUAGGGAGGAGGAGGGCUACACCAUGUGAUGUUCUGGAGAGGCUACAAAUCUGAAGUCCCUAGUAAAGUUCAAACAGGCCUCUUCUUCAAAAUAGGACAAAGUCCCAAUGCCACUGUUCUCAGUUCUUUGAGUGUUUCAGGUGUCUAUCUUCCUGGACCUGGGCCUUUUGGCACGGCAUGUAUCGGUAUCCAGGGCGCAGUACCAUUCCAUACCCACUUUUAAGCUAGGCAUGAAUUUAAUUUAAUAUGAUUUCCCCAACUAACACGGUGUCUGUCCCGUGAUACCCAAGAGAUGGACCCACAGCUCUUUCUUCACUGAUUGAGAGGGAGACACCAGUGGGAAACCUUUGGAGUGAGCGUCAUUGCCCCACUUUGACAGAGAAAAACAGGCAAGUUGGGAGAGAGCAAGAAAAUCUUUCACAGCCACAGUUAGUGGCUAGGUUGGCAUGUGGUGCCACCAAACGUUCUCUUCCCAUGACACCGUGAUCCCUCUGCAUCAUCCUGCCACACUUCCAUCUGGACAGUUCAUAUGUCACCUCCUGCCAGCCACAGUCUUUUGGUGGCAUGCUCUUCUUAAUCCUUAGUCCCAGGCUGCCUGGUAUGGCCUUAGUGUCUGAGUCAUCUCAUCCCCGGAUUCAUAUGCCGAGGCUCUAACGCUAGUGUAACAGGGUUACUGGACUCUCAAGGUGGGGUUAGCAUUCCUAUAAGAGACACAAAAGAGCUCCUUCUCUCUACCCAGUGAGGACGCAGAGAGAGGAUGGCGGUCUACAAACCAUCCAGAUCUUCACCACAGACCAAAUUGGCAGACUCCUUGAUCUUAGACUUCACCUUUUAGAUCUCUGAGAAGUGAACUUCUGAUGUUCAAGCCACUCGGCCUGUGCUACUUGGUAAAGCCUUGGGUACAGACCAAGGUGGCCCUUCUGCAAUUUAGGUAAAUAACCUUGAUUACUAUCUCACGCAUCUUGGACGGACUCAGGGUGAAAACCAAGAGGAAAACAAGUCAAUGGAGAAGACACCCCACAGCAUACAGGCAGCCAGGGAGCUACAGUGAAAAGACUGAGGCGAGGUAUACACCCAGCUUGUGCCAGGAAAUGGCUAGAGUGAGCCAGCGUGUGGCCAUAGAGUAGGAACCAAAGCACCCACCAGCCCUAAAAGGAUGCUAAUGGGGCCCUCACUGAGAGCACUGAGGCGCUGUCAAUCAGAGCACACACGGCAUAAGAAUGAAUCUGCCAGUUACUGAGUCACUGAGAGCAAACUGCAAAGCAAUUCACACAGCACAAUCAUUGAUUUUUUUUCUUUCCUGUUUUGAGUCCAUAAAAAUAACUCCUUUAAAGGUGACUUUAGUGAUCCCAGCCUUCAGCAAUAUGAGGACAGACAAGUCAUCUUCCAAGAAGCCCUUGAAAUGUAGGGGUCUUUAUGAUCUCUGGAGCAGAGCCUUUAACAGCUCCUUCUGUGUUUAGGUAACCGAAACAUGAGAGGUAUUUUAAGAAGUGAGGCGAAGUGUCCAUGCAUUCAAUUUCCCUUGUAUUAUAAACACAGGCUUCCAUUCCGAUAAGCACCAUAAAUGUGUAUCACAAACCCAAAUUAGGGGUUCAGACACAGUCACAGAGCUUCUGAGGACGACUGUGCAAGAUGAGAGCACACUGCUGGGAGCCUGGAGGCUGGAAAGCAGCCCUGCAGCCCUGCAGCCCUGUCAUGAGCCACAUGGCAAAGCUGCCAGGUGGGAGCCCCAGAGGCCGUCUUUGUGGGCAGAUCCACCUUGACUCAUCAAGGGCAGGAGUGAAGGGCAGACCAGCACCUGAGACCCAGGAGCUAGGAGGCUUAUGUUGCUCUCAGCUCUUAAGUCGGUCUUGACUUUAGAUAUAGGAAAAUGCCAGCAGUGUACCGGCUGGUGAAAGGACUCGCAGUUGUUGUUGUUGUUGUUGUUGUUUUUUAAAGACAUGGUUUCUCUGUGCAGCGCUAGCUGUCCUGGAACUAGAUCUGUAGACCAGGCUGGCCUCAAACUCACAGACAUCUGCCUGCCUCUGCCUCCUGAGUACUGGGAUUAAAGGUGUGUGUCACCACCACUGAGCUUGGAAUAUAUAUUUUGUGAGAGCGGAAUGCCAUUUUUGGUGAUAAUAAAAAUACGUGUGAAUGUAUGAAUGGACAUUUCUUUUAAAUACACACACACACACACAUACACACUCACACACACACACACAGUUGAAAGGUCUCACACUAAAAUGAUAAUGUUAGUGGUCACAGGAUGGUUAAACCAGAGGCACUUUCUGUAAUCAUUAUUUUAUAAUGAACUGAUGCCUCUCCUUCCAGUGAUCCCCAGUCUAUCAAGUGCUCCACUGGAAGCUUUGCUAACAUUCCUGAUGAGGAAAUUUCCCUUUAUUUGUCUUCACUGAGAGCUGGUUCUCUUUCCUCAGAGAGCACUUUCAUCUCACUCCAGUCUUCUAUCUAGCGUCUCCUUCUUACAGGACAGGGGCCAUGGUGGGUAUGAUUUCAUUCUGGGCAACAACUUUAUUUUGUAGAAAUAAUGACAAUGACAGCAAUGGCCCCAACCAUAGCAGCAGUAGCACAGACAGCAGUAUGGGUAGCUAGCGUAUUUGAAAAGCUCCAGAUGCUAAGGAGUCCAGAUGCAGUAAGAAGGCCGUGAUCUCCAUGUCUCUGACAGGGAAAUUCUCUCACACAAAGGCUGUACCUUCAGAACAAUACCCACGCACUCUAGGCACACAAAGUCAAGACUGUCGUCCAGGCAGAAGGGCUCCUGAGUACAUUCUCACCAGUAGGGUGAUGACUAUUUACCCAGCAGCACCCAGGGAUGCCCGAGAAAUACUUGAAGAAAAGAUUGUUCCUGUGUUCUUUUUUAUAAUCCUGAAAAGGUUAUCUCCAUUUUUGGACUGUGGGAAAUGAAACAAAAAAAAUCACUCCCUGAGGAAUAAAAUAAAUUUUUUUUGGAAAAAAAUGUUCUAAUACAGACAGCAGUGCUUCCCCUAACGGGAAGAAAAAAAAAAGCCCUAUUCAUUCAAGUCCCCAUUUUUUAAUUUUCCUGAGAGUAGAAGGCUGCAAAGACCAGCAGAGUUCAAGGCCAUUCUCUCUGGGGCUCAAAUUUCUAUAGCUGGAUGUAGACAGGGUUUCUGGUUCCACAUAAGUAGCUAAUCAAAGAGAAAGACAAUUCUUCAUGUGAAAACCCUUCUGAUCUUACAUCAAGAGAGCCAGGCCCCAGAGACCAGAGCGGAAUGACUGAAGGUUAAGACGUGCCAGGCACUUUGUAUGCUGCACGAGGGAUUUAGGUAAAUCAUGUAGGAAUGGGACAUUAUCAAUUCUGCCUUUAAAAAAACAAAACCAAACAAGGCAGAAGUGGCUCUAUUUGCAUGGUUUUCGCAGAAUGUGACUGUCUGUGGAGCUAAAGGGCCCCACGUGCAUUGUUAUCGGGAAAUAUUUAACGGAUUAGGACCGUAUGCACUGGCAGACAGACCUGAUUCAAGUUUUUCACAUGAUAUGAAUCCUCCUGGGUCAAACUGAACAUGCUGGCGCCAUGCCAGGUUAGAGCAGGAGAUGGAACUGGCCUAAUUCAGGCCUCUCCAUUCAUUUCCAUCCAAGAAAGCAUACGGCCUCUCCUUACAGCUCAUUGUUUCGGGAUUAGCAGAUGUAUUGUCAGCGCAGACAGAAUACCGAUGAGACAGGGCCUCACGUCAUCAGGCGUUUGAUGUGGUUAAACUGCCACCCUAUUUCAAAGCCUGCAGAAGCCACUGUACAUCCCCAGCUUGGCCUGCAAACGGAAUACAAAAGAGUACUUCGCUGGUUGGUGAUGAACUGAUGCCCACCUGCUCCUUCUACGAAUUUUAAAACCAGGGAGGGAAGAUGUAGUGCUCUCCCAAUUCUCUUGUGCCUUAGAGUAAGAAAAGAACACAUUUCCCACCAUUUCCCCAUUCUUGGCUCACACCAACGAUAUUAACUACCUCAGUGAAGCCAGAAGCAUCUGUCCCUGUCAGAGCCUGCAAGCAGAUCCAGCUACCAGGCAGUUGUGAAACACUUCAGCAUCUGUCAGGAUUUAAUUAGGCUAGCUUUUUGGAUGGGGUGUGAUCCCAGCCCCAGCUUGGGAGGAACAUUUUCACAAAGGUGCUGAAAUGGUUGGGAUGGGCUGAGGAUGGCACAGAGUAGCCUGGAUUCUCGUGUCAUCUGACCUGGGGGGGCAGUAGCAGGAAGUGGUUGGCUUUUCUUUAUGGGACUGAUCCUAAAGACAGGACUCAGAUGUAGACCCACUUGAGCGACCUUUACACACAGAUGGGGAAUUAACAGAACUGUGCCCUUUGGCUUCUAUGUGCAAUUCUUUUUUUUUUUUUUAAAGGAAAUAAGGAUGGUUUAUUCUGGAUCCAUUUUGAGUCACCAUGGCCCGAGAACACAGGUUUAGAUCACCCCAGAUUACAUGUUCCAACAUGGAAACAGUUUCCCAAGAUUUUUAUACUUUUAUACAACAAAUAAAAUCAUGAAUCAGGGCAAGUUUAAAAGACAUUGGUGGAUACAUGGGAGAGGUGGCUGUAACAUGAUUAGGGAAGUUAUUCUACAGCUCCAAGAUGCUACCUGUUGACAUUCUGCACUCUUGAAUGGGUGGAAGCUAGUGCUCUGCUAAGUUAAUAGCUUCUAAGGCUUUUUUAUGUAUUAUCAUGAUGUGUUGCUUCUCUAUGUGCAAUUCUUAAUCUCACUGUCUGGACGACUGAGGUGGAGGGAAGGCACAGAGGGACUCAGAAUAUAUUUCUCCCUAAAAACAGUAGCCAGGACCUUGGGAGCUGGUUAGUUUCUAACAUACUUGCCAGGGAGGUAUAAAGACCUAUGUUCAAUCUCCAGAACAUACAUGGAAAGCCAGGCACGGUGGUGUGUGCAUGCAGUCCUACGGCUGGGGAGGCAGGGACAGGCAGACCCUUGGGCUCACUGGCUAGCUAGCCCAGCCUACUUGCUGAGUUCCAGACCAGUGAGAGACCCUGUAUUAAAAAAUAAUGUGGACUGCUCACGAGGAAUGUCAUCCAAGGUGGGCCUUUAGCAUUUGUGUGUGUGUGAAUACAUGUGUACUCACACGCACAUGUGUACCCUCCCCCAUGAACCCCAGUCACCCAGGACUUGACCCCUCAUACAUGCAGGCGUUGGACUGGUGCAUCACACCUGCAAGCUGUUCUCUUGUCCCUCCUCUGUCUGGCUCUCCAACUCAUUAGUCAUCUUCUCUCUGCUUGACAACGUUCCCUUUCUACUCAGUUAUUCUUCCCAGGCUCUGAGCCUUCUUAAUGAAAAGCUCCUUGAAUGUUCGAAAGGGAUUAGAUGCUGCGACUUCGGGGCACAGCAUCAGAGGAUCAGUGGGAACAACACAAAUGGCCAAUAACAAGGGAUUAGUCAGACCCUGCACAGUGACAAUCGGUGGCCAGGUGUGACUGGAAUUGCCAGUCUUCACAGGGUGCCUGAGUCCGAGGAAGUCGGGUUUCCAGGACUAAUGUGAGACACAAAUAACUGAUUUUAAUAGGGCUCUUGGAGGAAAGUAAGAAACUGCCCCCAUUAGCUUGAUCUAAACCUCACUGCCACUGAGAGUGGUAAUGGUGGUGAUGUUGCAAUUGUAGCUGACAUGGGCUUCCUGUAUGUCAGUGCCAUUCUUCAUGCUUAUAUGGGUCGUGUGUCUUUCUUAUUGUAGUAAUCCCAUUACAGAAAUAUCAAUGUUCCUACUUCUCAGAGGGUAAGACUGAGGCAAAGUGUGUGUGUGUGUGUGUGUGUGUGUGUGUGUGUGUGUCUGUCUGUCUGUGUGUGUGUGUCUGUGUGUCUGUGUGUAUGUGUGUGUGUAACUUGCCCAGGAUUGCCAGGAAGUGAUACGAGUCCAGCUGAGUUUACUCCAAACUCUAUCCCUUCAGGUUUCUGACUUCUCUAUCAAGUGUGGGCACGGAGGGUCUAUGUCUACCUUGGCUUCCACUUGUAAGCAAAAUAAUGCUCACCACACAGAGAUUGAUAAGUAAAUUAUCUGCUUUGUGAGCAAAUUCAUGGAUCCCUACAUCAAUGGUCAUAUUGCUUUAGAGAGUUGAGGAUACUCAAGCUGAGAAGGACGAAGUGUCCUUCUUUCUUUAUUCUUCAGGCUUAAGGGUGUGGCUGAGUCUUGAGACCAGAUCAAGGUGAUAUGCUACAGCGAGGGACCCCUGGACAACAGAUUGUCUAUAAUCACCAAGACUCCAAGCAUGUGAGGGAGAACAAGACACCUGGUGGUGAUACCAGGUGGGAAAGAGGCACCUGCAGGCACAAAGCUAUUGGAGGAUAUGGUCAUGUGAGGGCAGCUGACAAAGGUUCCCGAAUCCGUCUUUUUGCAGAUACCCUAUAGAGUUGGACUUUCCUGUCCACUACAGGAUAGGCUGGGGUGUGUGAGCUGUUUGACUUGUAGAAGACCUAAGAAAUAGAGGGGUUACCAUAAUUCAUGGGACCUCUCAGCUGGGAAGUUGCAGAGGUAGGACUUGAAUCCAAGCCUAUCAGUUCUCCAGAUCCCGAAGGCCUUUCCCAAAGCACACAGGGACUUUGCUGGCCAGGGAAACUGCAAGAGGCCUGAGCAGACUAUAAGAGAAGAGCCACAGAGACACACGAGCUGACUGAGAUGGAAGUGUCACGGGAAGCUUUGGGAGAAAGUGGGUCUUAUUUCAACUCAAUUCUUAAGUGAUACUUUUAAGAGGGAAUUUGGGGGAGGGGGCUGUGACAAUACUCAUCAGGCAGAGGCAGCAGCGACUUAGGUGGAAGAGAAAAGGAGGUUCCUGCUUGGACACAGUCGAUAGAGGAUAGGCAAGAGGCAGUGGUACAGGGUCUUAAGCAGCAGGCUGUGGAGUUUAGUCUUAUAACCCAGAGGGCUCUCCAGCAGGGGUGGGCAGGGAUAAAAGCAGUAUUGGUGGACACACACACACACACACACACACACACACACACACACACACACUCACUGGUGGCUGAAUGUGAAAUGAGUUACAGUAGAAAGUGUGGCCAGGCAGGAAGGAAGUGAACCUCAAAGGGGACACAGGGUAUGGAAGUUUUAAGGCAAGGAAGUUACAAUUAUCUGCCUGACCCAAUUGCCACUGGGGUGCAAAAGAUGGGAUCAGUAACCCAUGUACAUCAGCUCAGGGGAUGCAGCCUCAGCCCCAUUUUACAGAACAAAGAACAGAAGCUGGGAAAGGUGAAGCCAAGCGCUCUCAGCCACGCCCACCUGGUAAGCAGCAAGUGGGCCUAUGAAUGCAGUGUGGUCUGGUUGCACAGCCAGUGCUCAGAAGCACCACACAGAGAUCUUAGCAAGAGCUCUGUAGUCCUGGUAGCUGGCCCCAAGCCUGAGACCUCAUCUCGGAAAGGGGGCGCUGCUAUUCCACCACAGGGUGCCAGGCAGCUGGCUUAGGAAACACUGUCUCCAUUUGCAGCUUAUAGAGGCCGGUGUUACCACCCACAUCCCUGGAUUGAAUCCCAGCCGUCUGGAAGAGCAGGAGGAAAGAGAAUCAAUGCUAUCUGGCUCCUCAGAUAGGCACCAUGUGGCUUUGCUUUGAAGGCCUGGGUUACAUUGUAACUUAGCCCACAAAGGGGCCUUGUGAUGCCUGCAUGUGACCCGGACCCAUUUGGAUGGCACCUCUGCCGCCUCCUCAGCUUUGUGGUUGACCAAAAUGUUCAGAAUUAGAUUUUUCAAUAAAUGGCUCAUUCCGCAGUUACCCUGCAGAGAAAAAAAAAGUCAGGUCACAGGCUUCUGAAAUGUCACCUCUGCAUCUUUGCUACCAUUACUGCAGAGGCUCCAAAGCCGAGAGCUGGGUAGAGAGGUUCAGCAUGUCCAGUCCAUCUGUUGCAUGGCUGAAAAUACUUGAAAGAGCCUUUUCUCACACAGCUCAGUUUUAAAGUGUGUGUGCGGCUUCGGCCUGUGGCCCUGGCUCUCACCAGUGCAUUUUUGGAAUUUUUUUUCUCAACAAGUCACGUGCGUGCUCAAUUUAAAGAGUCUAAGGGCUGUGUGAAGCCUGAUGAAAGUUAACAACAUUCUCUGACUCUCUUCUCUUAGAAGCAAACGUUUCCCUCGAUUUUAGUGAGGUGGGUGGGUGGAGGGGUCUUCAGAUAUCUCUAAGUUCUUAGCUGAUGUCACCUUCUUUGAUUUGCCCUUGUUAGGGAUUAUCCACUGUCUCCCUACUGUGGAGGAUGAGGACUUAGCUGUUGCACAUCACCAUGUCCGCCCUCCUGCACAUGCUCCUUAAGCUCCAGGCUAGAUACACUCUCAAUGCCCACUGUUUUUGUUGUCUCCAGCAAGGAGGCAUUGUUCGUGAAUCACAUAGUCGAGUAUGACUUCAAGACUUUUCUUCUGGGUGAACUUUUGGUUUUUCUGCAGUUCAUACAGCCCCCUUGUUUGUUUAGUAGCCUAUAUAUUUCUCAUGAAUCCAGAGAGCAUCCUCUCUGCCAUCAUGUGUCUAUCAAGUGAAGUUCCCUGAAAAAGCCGUACCUACAUUAGACACAAGACAUUAGAUUGACUGUUUAGAAUUUUAAUAAUCAUGGAGACUUGGAAUAUUCUAGGCACAAAGUAUAUUGGGUAUGUUUAGGUCACCUAGAGAGCCAUUAUUACCUACCUCUGUGUGUGACUUAAGAUCCUUGUGACCUCUGGGUAAAUCCAUUUGGAAUGUAUGAACAGACCGCAAGUUUCCAAAAACCCAAAGCUCAGUUGCUAUUGGCCCCACUUUGCUGUCUAACUGCCUAACUGAUGUUCCACCAGUGAGGGGCUGGAGAUUGCUCAGUGUUAAAAGCAUUGGCAGCUUGUCUAGAGCAGUAGUUUUUAACCUGUGGGUUGUGACCCCUCUGGAGUAGAAGGACCCUUUUGAAGGGGUGGCCUAAGAGCAUGGGAAAACAUAGAUAAUUACAUUUAUGAUUUGUAAUAGUAGCAGAAUUACAGUAAUAAACUAGCAACAAAAUAAUUUUAUGGUUGGGGGGGUCAUCACAACACAGGGAACUGUAUUAAAGGGUCUCGGCAUUUAGAAAGGUUAAAAACCACCGUUCUAGAGGACUGUGGUUCAACUCCCAGCACCCACACGGGGGCUCAUGGAAUUCUGUGACUCUAUCUCCAAAGAUCAGAUGCCUUCUUCUGGCCUCCAGAGGUACCAGGCGCGCACACGCAUAUAAAAUACUCAAAUAUGUAAAAAUCUGAGUUAUGAUUACUGCCAGACUGUAAAGUCAUCAUAAAACUGAUACCUUGUUGGCAUUUGCAGGAGCCUGGUCUGUGUUUCUGGGCCAUGGCUACUUAUAAUUGGCUCCAGAAUAAGUUACUGAUUAUUCAUUUUGGUGUGAGAACGUACGUGUGUGUGUGUAUGUGUGUGUGUGUGUGUGUGUGUGUGUGUGUGUGUUAAAUACAGCAUCAAUUGCUUGGCACAGGAACCCACCCCUGGGUAUGGAAUAGUUUUAGUCUGGACCUGGGGUCCACACACCACUGCACGGCAGCCAGCCUGGUCGCCCCUGUCCACUCCACCCAAUUUCAGCCUCCAGUGCCCCAUGCCUAAUAGCUCUCUCGUCAUUAAACCUGCAGUUUCAGUGGUUCUUUGGAAGGCCUCUACCCAUCAUUUCUGAGAAGUUCUUUAUUGUACAGCGUCUAAGACAGAAGUCUUUGCUUGGGGGUUGACUGUCUUAUGCCCAAUGUAGUUAAAAUGUGUGAUACCAUUUUGAGUUUUAUAUCUUCUACAGACCUGUUUUUACUUAUGCUUUUGUUCUUUAAUGCCCUCUCCAGACACGUUUGGAUUUCUUUCUUCCCGCUGGUGCGCUGAAGUUUCAUGAUGAUGUGCUUAGCAUGGUUUAUGGCCACUCACUGAUGAAAUCUCACCACCCCCUUUCUAUCUGAAAAGCACUGUUCUUUUAGUUUGUGGAAAUGGAUUUCAAUUUCUUUCUAGAAUUUCCUGUUAUUUGGAUGUAAAUCUACUAACCAGGCCCUUGGUUUCUCUUAUGUUUCUGUCUUAUUUUCUAUUCCUAUGAGAUCUUGUACUUUCUGGGACAUAAUUUCAAAUUGGUCCCCAGAACUUUUACUAUGUUAAAAUCUCUCUGGGUUAAAAAGGAAGAGAGCAUUGUACUUUUAUUGCAACUUUGCAAUUAUCUCUCAGAGUUUCAGUUCUGGUCUGUAUCUUUCAAGAUGCUAUUCUGUGUGUGUGUGUGUGUGUGUGUGUGUGUGUGUGUGUGUGUGUGUGUGUGUGUGUGUAUCCCACUCAUGUGUGUGGAGUGUAUAUGCAGGUUUUUCAUACAAAUGCCUGCUGAUCCAUUUAUCUAUCUGUCUGUUUAUCUAUCUAUCUAUCUAUCUAUCUAUCUAUCUAUCUAUCUAUCUAUCUAUCUAUCUGCCUGACCCUCUCCUCCCAGUAUCCGCUUCCUCCCAUCCACUCUUCCUCUUUCUCUUCAGAAAAGGGCAGGCCUCCCAUGGUUAGUAAACAGCCCUGGCAUAUCAAGUUGCAGUAAGACCAGGCACCUUCUCUCCUAUUAAGGUUAGAGGAGACAACGCAGUAGGAGGAAAGGGUCCCAAAGGCAGGCAACAGUUGAGCCAUGGACAGGCCCUGGUCACUCUGUUAGGAGUCCUACAUGAAAACCAAGCUGUGCAAUUGUAACAUAUGUGUAGAGGACCUACGUUAGUCACAUGUGGGCUUCUUGGUUGGCAGUUCAGUCUCUGUGAGCCCCUAUGAACCCAGGUUAGUGGAUUCUGUGUGUGUUUUUUAUGGUGUUCUUCACCCCUCUGGCUCCUACAAUCCUUCCUCCCACCUCUCCUAUGGGAUUCCUUAAACUCUAAUGUUUGGCUGUGGGUCUAUGUAUUUUGUUUCUAUCCGUUGCUAAGAGAAAGACUCUCUGAUGAAAAUUGGGCUCAGCGCCUUCGAUCUAUGAGCACACUAUACCCUCUUAAGCAAUGAGCUCUUUUUCAAGGCCAUGGGCCUAUGGGCUUUAAGUGUGGGGCCCUAAAAUGUUUGUAUUAACUGUGGGUUUCCCAAGCAGGUGUCUCAGCUGGAGAGAACUGAUCCACUAAACUGGUGAAUUUCCUCACUGGUCCUUUCCUAAACUAUGUUCUAGAAACUAAUUUAAGAGAAAACAGUAGUUAGAAGUUUAUUUUGUUAACUUGCAUCAAGUCCCUGGUUCCAGAGAGCAUUCUCUUCCCUCAGCCAUGCUACAUGUCUGGUAUUCUGUAUACAUGUCCUCUCCCUUCAUGAGAGAGCGAGCUCUGGCUUCCACCUGGUGCAGGGUGGGAAGCAGCAAGCACAAAGGCUGGUUCAGGAAAUUUCAAGCAGUCUUUCUGCUUUUUGGACCUCUGUUUCCAGAGUUAUCCCAGGCUGUAAUUCCUAGGCCUUCUGGUAGCUUCUUGGUUCCCAUAAAUGCCAGCUUAGGAUACUGUUUCCUGAGUCGAAAGUCUUUUUAGACUGCCUGUCUUUUUAUUUUCUAGCUUACACAUUUUUGUUGCUAUUUUUUCCUUCUAGCAGAUUGACCCUUUAAAAAGCCAUUCUGUUGAACGUCUAGGAGGAAAUGGAAUGCGUGUGCUCCAGCUGUCAUCUUAAAUGAGUAGUCUUAGAAUCACAGCCGUCCUGUCGUCCAUCCUACCUACCUCCCUUAGUUGUCUGGGGCUCCUGGCUCUGCAGCAGUGCCAUGACGUGGAUUCUGCUCAUCUUGUGUGGUGGCUGCCAGAUUCUACCAAGUAUGACAUGCUUUCUAUCAAGAAAAGGACGCAGGGCCAUGGACAGAAACAGGGUUAAUUCAGCUGAGUCCUGCUCGGUGUGAUACUUGGUCUCGUUUGUAGCCUCAGGAUAAUACACUGCAUCCCUAUACACUUUCAGGGUUCUUAGCAGGAUCAAACAGGAUAAUGGCUGUGAAAGCCCUUCAGAAAGCACAAAGUCGAACAGAAACAAGGCUUUGCUACUACUUAAAACCUCACUUUUAUCGCCUGGAAUUCAACCUGAAGUCAUUUGGGCCGGUCUUCAGGAAAGAGGCCUAUCUCCAGGAAUCAUACAAAUCAUCCUGUGGCGUUUAAAGAAAUGUCCUUCAGUCGCAGACGAGUGACAUGGUGGUGCUUUUCACUCCACUGACGGCAUUUGCUGAAGCCAGACAGGUUCCAUGGCACAUCAAAUAAACAUACCCAGAAUCCAAGAAAGGAUUUUCCUCAUGGAGCCCCCUCUACAGUGAGUCUGUUUCUCAGCUGCCUCGGCGAAGUCAACAACAUUGGAGAAAGCGAGUAAACCUAUCUAAACAGUGGACAUAUUCCAGCAUCAGAAAAGUAUGCAGUGAAGGUAACUUCACAGAAAAGAUGCCCAACGCUAACUAAGCAAUAAGCACAAGCGUCAGAAGCAUCCACAUGAUCUCACUCCUACAAGACCAUCAAGCCCUGUGCACAUGUAGACAAAAGAACACAAAUCAAGAUGUUCACCAAACACAAGAGUCGAAAAGGAGGCUGUCCUUUGUGCUUGGAUGCCACAGAGUUCAAUUGCACACAGCCAGCUUCCUGCUCCUGCCACACAAUAACUUCCCUGCAUGCUGUUGUGUCUUUCCAAGAUGAUAGGCUGUAUCUUUCCAACGGUAAGACAAAAUAACUCCAUUCUCCUUUUAGAUGCUUUAGUUAGGAGAGUUUAUCAUAACAGAAAGAAAGAAGCUAAGACAGUUUUGAAUGUUUCAAAGCGAAUGAUUGCUUGAGAACCAAGCAGAUAUCCACACUUUUGCUUUGAGUUUGAGGAUAUUUACCAUCAUUGAUUAACCUGUUUUUGUUUGUUUUGUUUGUAAAAGGAUCUGCUAUUUGUCUCUCCACUCGGGGCAGCCUGUGAAGAGUGUAUCUUGAGUUUGUUCACUACUGUUGUGUCCUAUGCUAGAUCUCUUAACCUCUCUGUGUCUCACUCACUGUAGAUACCUCACUAUCUAUAUCCCCAUUGAUGUUCCUCAACUGCUCAGUAUGGUUCCUGGGACACUUAAGUUCUGAAAAACUGGAAGCCAUUAUUAUUAUUUUUUUUGGAAGCCAUUGUUAAUGAAUGAUGCCUCCAUCUCUUGAAUUCCAACUCAACCUGAUCAAGCCUGUUUUCUUUUCUUUUUUUAUAAAUUGGAUGAUUUUUAUUUACAUUUCAAAUGUUUCCCAGUUUCCUCUCCAUAAACCCCUUAUCUCGUCCCCGCUUCCCCUGUUCCCCCACCCACCCUCCACUUCCCGCAUCCCUGCCCUGAUAUUCCCCUACACUGGGGCAUUGAGCUUUGGCAGGACCAAAGGCUUCUUUUCCCAUUGAUGCCCAACAAGGCCAUCCUCUGCUACAUAUGGAGCCAUGGGGCUGUCCAUGUGUACUCACUCUUUGGAUGAUGGUUUAGUCCCUGGGAGCUCUGGUUGACUGGUAUUGUUGUUCUUAUGGAGCUGUAAACCCCUUCAGCUCCUUCAAUCCUUUCUCUAACUCCUCUAUUGGGGACCUUGUUCUCAGUUCAACUGUUGGCUGUGAGCAUCUGCCUCUGUAUUUGUCAUGCUCUGGCUGAGCCUCUCAGGAGGCAGCUACAUCAGGCUCCUGUCAACAUGUACUUCUUGGCAUCAGCAAUAUCCUCUGGGUUUGGUGGCUGUAUGUAUAUGUGCUAAAUCCCCAGGUGGGGCAGGCUCUGAAUGACCACUCCUUCAGUCUCUGCUCCAAACUUUGUCUCCAUAUUUCCUCCUAUGAAUAUUUUUGUUCUCCCUUUUAAGAAGGACUGAAGCAUCUGCACUUUGGUUAUCCUUCUUCUUGAGCUUCAGGUGGUCUGUGGAUUGUACCUUGGGUAAUACAAGCUUUAGGGCUAAUAUCCACUUAUCAGUGAGUGCAUACCAUGUGGUUUUGUGUGUGUGUGUGUGUGUGUGUGUGUGUGUGUGUGUGUGUG